UACGUAGGGGGCAAGCGUUGUCCGGAUUUAUUGGGCGUAAAGAGCGUGUAGGCGGCCUGAAAGGUCAGCUGUGAAAACUCGAGGCUCAACCUCGAGACGUCGGUUGAAACCAUCUGGCUAGAGUCCGGAAGAGGAGUGUGGAAUUCCUGGUGUAGCGGUGAAAUGCGCAGAUAUCAGGAAGAACACCCGUGGCUAAGGCGGUUCUCUAGUACGGUACUGACGCUGAGACGCGAAAGCGUGGGGAGCGAACAGG
This 253-nucleotide ribosomal RNA is filed under the name uncultured bacterium. RNAcentral's name for it is "partial 16S ribosomal RNA". It matches the Rfam family "Bacterial small subunit ribosomal RNA", at positions 524 to 776 of the family's 1533-position model. The record is from RNAcentral.